GGAGGGGAGGAAGGAAGAGGAGAAUGAAGAGGAUGGAAAACUAGGUUUGGGCUAGACUUAGUCAGACCAACCAAAAUCUAAACCCAACCUAUUUAAUAGAUAGGCUCAUAUUUCAAACCUGACCUGACCCACCAAGCUUAAAAUCUAGUUCUAAUCCAUCUAAAAUGCUUAGAGCUUGACCGAACCUAGUGGGCCAUCC
RNAcentral lists this long non-coding RNA (199 nucleotides) under Elaeis guineensis (African oil palm). RNAcentral's name for it is "long non-coding RNA (EGUI_LNC032524)". The record is from RNAcentral. Lineage: Eukaryota; Viridiplantae; Streptophyta; Magnoliopsida; Arecales; Arecaceae.